UGUGAGGACGCCAUUGGAAGAGUGUGCUUAUUGCCCAAGGAAAUUUUUCAUGAAGUUGUUAGGUAUGGUCUAUGGUUACUAGGAUGUUCACAUGAUUCAGGCAGAUGUCACGCUACGAUGUUCUUCGGUCUUUUACUUCAAUUUCAGACCAUCCUUGAGGAGUUUGACACUCAAGUUGGACUUAGAAUCUUAUAUAACGUUAUGAGUAUGUUACAACUCUUAUCAAACGAAGGUGAUACAGUCAACGUGUAUGUCAUGUGUGCGUCGAUCUGAAACGUUACUUACAGUCCCCUCCCUUUUUUUUAAGGUGCCCAAACUCCAACUAGGUGAAAUAGGACUGCCAAGUGAUAAGGUUCCUGCAGAAUGGUGGAAUAAAACUAUAGAGCACCAAUUGGACCAGGGAGGCAAAACUUGCAGUGACUUCCAAGAUAGAGGACCAACCAUUUUAUAAUAUAAGUGGUUCCUGCAGAAUGGUGGAAUAAAACUAUAGAGCACCAAUUGGACCAGGGAGGCAAAACUUGCAGUGACUUCCAAGAUAGAGGACCAACCAUUUUAUAAUAUAAGUGGUAAGUUUUAUUUUCCC
Non-coding RNA from Bemisia tabaci, 583 nucleotides. Lineage: Eukaryota; Metazoa; Arthropoda; Insecta; Hemiptera; Aleyrodidae. The record is from RefSeq and is a predicted model, not a curated record.